This is a long non-coding RNA of Helianthus annuus (common sunflower), 1497 nucleotides long. RefSeq lists it as uncharacterized. The record is from RefSeq and is a predicted model, not a curated record. The transcript has 8 exons. Lineage: Eukaryota; Viridiplantae; Streptophyta; Magnoliopsida; Asterales; Asteraceae.
CACAACUUGAAUUCCUCUAAUAAAAUUUCCAAUCUAUUAAUUUUCCUCCCCUAAAAUUUCAGUUCCCCCCAUUACUAGAAUUUCAAUUCCCUCCCAAAUCAAAUCCCUAAAUAAAUCGCAACAAAUUUGGAUUCUCUUCCAUACUUAAUCUCUCCUUGAUGAACCCUAGUUAAUUUUCCGCUCCGAUCGUUUUCUUAUGGCCUUUGUGGAUAGGAUCAUGAAAGAGAAAUGGCAGCAGACGAACUGCAAUGGUUGAAGAUGAUGGACAUCCUUUUUGGGUUCCAUUUGAAUGAUGUCACUGGGAUUACAGCAAUUACUGCCACGCCAAUACAUGAUCCGUCUUUGUGGGAUAAUUUGCCCAUUGGCUGCUGGAGAAAACCAUUAAUUAAGACUGGGAGUUGCUAUAACAACUUUGGUCAAUGGACAGGGAAUUAAAGAAUAGUUGUCACUCUGCCGCAGCAUUGCCGCACCGCCGCACCACCUUCACUCUGUUGGAGCACCUCCAUCUCGCCUGAUUCUCCAACGCCACUUCGAAAAUGUGGCGACAAGUCGCCGCUAUUGCGCAACUUCUUUGUAGUGAUAAUGUGGAACCUGAGGCUGCAGAUCCCUUGAUGGAGGUAUUAUGCAUUAUGAUUUAGAGACGGAUGAUAGUCCCAGCCCAACACCUUCUGAGACUGAGUUUGCUCACCAAAACCUAUUACUACUUCAUCGAGGAUCUCAUUAUGUAGUAAACUCUUCAAACUUAAAGGUGCUUCAUAUGUUCAAUAAUGAUAAAUAUGGUUGAAUAUAUGCAUUCACGAGGUUUCCUUCACCGUGAUAUAAAGCCAGAUAACUUUUUGAUGGGUUUAGGGCGAAAGGAAAAUUAGGUUUACAUUAUAGAUUACGGUCUGGCCAAAAAGUAUAGGGAUUUCCAGACACAUAAGCACAUACCAUACAGAGAAAACAAAAAUCUCACUGGUACUGCUCGUUAUGCCCGUGUUAAUACCCACCUUGGAGUUGGUCGGAGAUAAAGUUUUUCUCAAAAGCAUUCUGAACUCUACCGAGACUGUAGCAAGAGGAAGGGUCCAGAGCUUGGACCCAAAUGAUCUAGUUGGUGGUACAGAGAUUGGACCAGAAUGCUGUGAGGUAAACGUUCAAGUACCAAUAAAAAAAGGAUGAAAACUUGGUAAGAGCAUAUGGUUUAUUUUCUACAAUUCAAGAUUGUAUUAGUGUAUCCAUCGCAUGGCCCUAUCCAUUAAUCUUGGUAUGUAUUUGUUAAACUUGUGAUACAAAUAAUUUUAAUGUCAUGGAACUUAAUGCUUAUACAUGUAUGGUUGAUUUGUAGGUAGUCCAUGAGGAUUGAGGACUCAAGAUUUUAUCCUUCUUAUUUCUUUAAUUGUAUUAAUUUCGUUGUUAAAUGUUAAGAAUUUAUGUUAGAUAAUGUUAUAACGUAUUUAUGGUUAGUGUUUUUGUUAAGAACAUGCUUAUUUGAAAUAUAAUGAAGUUUUAUUUCUUUCA